This 77-nucleotide transfer RNA is filed under the name Leptotrichia sp. oral taxon 218. RNAcentral's name for it is "tRNA-Arg". It matches the Rfam family "tRNA". Rfam says of the family: Transfer RNA (tRNA) molecules are approximately 80 nucleotides in length. Their secondary structure includes four short double-helical elements and three loops (D, anti-codon, and T loops). Further hydrogen bonds mediate the characteristic L-shaped molecular structure. tRNAs have two regions of fundamental functional importance: the anti-codon, which is responsible for specific mRNA codon recognition, and the 3' end, to which the tRNAs corresponding amino acid is attached (by aminoacyl-tRNA synthetases). tRNAs cope with the degeneracy of the genetic code in two manners: having more than one tRNA (with a specific anti-codon) for a particular amino acid; and 'wobble' base-pairing, i.e. permitting non-standard base-pairing at the 3rd anti-codon position. Lineage: Bacteria; Fusobacteriati; Fusobacteriota; Fusobacteriia; Fusobacteriales; Leptotrichiaceae. The record is from RNAcentral.
GCACCUGUAGCUCAACUGGAUAGAGCGUCUGACUACGGAUCAGAAGGUUAUGGGUUCGACUCCUGUUAGGUGCGCCA